RNAcentral lists this ribosomal RNA (253 nucleotides) under uncultured bacterium. RNAcentral describes it as "partial 16S ribosomal RNA". It matches the Rfam family "Bacterial small subunit ribosomal RNA", at positions 524 to 776 of the family's 1533-position model. The record is from RNAcentral.
UACGUAGGGGGCUAGCGUUGUCCGGAUUUAUUGGGCGUAAAGAGCGUGUAGGCGGCCAGGUAGGUCUGGUGUGAAAACUCGAGGCUUAACCUCGAGAUGUCAUCGGAAACCAUCUGGCUAGAGUCCGGAAGAGGGGAGUGGAAUUCCUGGUGUAGCGGUGAAAUGCGCAGAUAUCAGGAGGAACACCAAUGGCGAAAGCAGCUCUCUGGGACGGUACUGACGCUGAGACGCGAAAGCGUGGGGAGCGAACAGG